UGAACGCUGGCGGCGUGCCUACCACAUGCAAGUCGAACGGAGUCCAGCCUUUAAGACCUUCGGGUCAAAGAGGGGAAGACUGAGUGGCGGACGGGUGAGUAACACGUGGGCAACCUGGCUCAUAGAGGGGGAUAACAGAGAGAAAUUUCUGCUAAUACCGCAUAAGCACACACUGCCGCAUGGCAGAGGGUGAAAAGAGAAUCGCUAUGAGAUGGACCCGCGUCUGAUUAGCCAGUUGGCAGGGUAAGAGCCUACCAAAGCGACGAUCAGUAGCCGAUCUGAGAGGAUGAACGGCCACAUUGGGACUGAGACACGGCCCAAACUCCUACGGGAGGCAGCAGUGGGGGAUAUUGCACAAUGGGGGGAACCCUGAUGCAGCGACGCCGCGUGAGUGAAGAAGUAUUUCGGUAUGUAAAGCUCUAUCAGCAGGGAAGAUAAUGACAGUACCUGAAUAAGAAGCCCCGGCUAACUACGUG
This 476-nucleotide ribosomal RNA is filed under the name uncultured bacterium. RNAcentral's name for it is "partial 16S ribosomal RNA". It matches the Rfam family "Bacterial small subunit ribosomal RNA", at positions 30 to 507 of the family's 1533-position model. The record is from RNAcentral.